This is a long non-coding RNA of Gossypium raimondii (Peruvian cotton), 910 nucleotides long. RefSeq lists it as uncharacterized. The record is from RefSeq and is a predicted model, not a curated record. The transcript is spliced from 3 exons. Lineage: Eukaryota; Viridiplantae; Streptophyta; Magnoliopsida; Malvales; Malvaceae.
UUCAGGGAAUGGGUGGGUGGGUAAGAAAUUAGCUGAAGCUUUCAAUUUUACCCUUACUAUUAUCCUUUCUUUCUCACAUUUGAAAUCUUUUCCUUUCUUUUUCAUGCUUCUUCCUUCCACUGUAAUAUAACAAAUUCCCAACUUAUCAAUUUAAACCUUUUUUUAAUCCCAUUUCCUCCGAACCCAAUCUGCAUUUUCUCUUCUUCUUCAAUUCUUUUUCUCCUCAAUAUAUUGACAAAAUUGGAAAUUCUUGAUAGCUUAAUCCAUUGAAAAGAGAAGUGAAGCAUUUUUCGGGUCGUCCCGCAGGAUCCAAGAACUGUUUGUGCAGUCCAUAGGUCUGAUGUAGAGUUUUAACUUCGUUUUUCCAAGGGUAUUUAGUUACUAUCCUUAUCGAAAAAGGGUGCGGCUUGUGGAGUUUCUACAUAAUGUGCUUAAUCUAAAGACCCUUAUUCUAGAUCUGGAGUUUAGGCUGAUGGUGAAAAAGGAUUGAGGUCACUACUUAUACUUUCUUGUUUAUCAUUUCAUGUCAAGGAGACCAAAAUUUCUGGAGUUGAUGAAAGCAAAUAUGCAUUUGAAAUGAUUAGUAAUUUCUUGAACCAUGCAAUGGUUCUAGAGAAGCUCAUAUUAAGAAUGAUUAACCUGCUUGAAAAAGAUGAAUUGUGUAUCUUGAAAAAACUAUUGAGGUUACCAAUGAAUUCAAAGAAAUGUGAAGUUGUCGUACACUAGUAUUUCUUAUGUUAUGGUUGGAACUGUUCACUAUCUCUAUAGGUUUGGUUUUGUGUAGCACUUUUGAGAAAUUAAAUGCCAUAUGGUGUUAUGGUUAGAAUUGUUCAUUGUCUGCUAUUUGUGUAUUUGGUUUAUGCAACGGGUUAGAACAGUUUGUUGAAUGUAGUGGGUUUGAUUUUGAGUA